Molecule: ribosomal RNA, 253 nt
Filed under: uncultured bacterium
Lineage: Bacteria
Description: partial 16S ribosomal RNA
Rfam family: Bacterial small subunit ribosomal RNA
Source: RNAcentral
GACGAAGGGGGCAAGCGUUGUUCGGAAUUACUGGGCGUAAAGGGCGCGUAGGCGGCUCUGUAAGUCAGGUGUGAAAGCCCUGGGCUCAACCUGGGAGUGGCACUUGAUACUGUUCGGCUCGAGACCGGAAGAGGUUAGUGGAACUGCGAGUGUAGAGGUGAAAUUCGUAGAUAUUCGCAAGAACACCGGUGGCGAAGGCGGCUUCCUGGCCCGUACCUGACGCUGAGGCACGAAAGCGUGGGGAGCAAACAGG